Molecule: unclassified non-coding RNA, 282 nt
Filed under: Aphanoascus keratinophilus
Lineage: Eukaryota; Fungi; Ascomycota; Eurotiomycetes; Onygenales; Onygenaceae
Description: partial internal transcribed spacer region
Rfam family: Eukaryotic small subunit ribosomal RNA (bases 1-46)
Source: RNAcentral
AAGUCGUAACAAGGUUUCCGUAGGUGAACCUGCGGAAGGAUCAUUAAAGUGUUUCGGAGCCUGGCUCGGGCAUCUCAACUCGAGGUGUCGGUGCCAGCGCCCCCACACGUGUUUACUCAACUUGGUUGCCUUGGUGAGCCUGCCCUCGUGGCUGCCGGGGAUGCCUCACGGCGUUCCGGGCUCGUGCUCACCAGUGGAACAUCUGAACUCUUAUGUGAAAAUAGUCAGUCUGAGCAUUAUGCAAAUUAAAUAAAACUUUCAACAACGGAUCUCUUGGUUCCG